CCUACGGGAUGCAGCAGUGGGGAAUAUUGGACAAUGGGGGAAACCCUGAUCCAGCGACGCCGCGUGAGUGAAGAAGUAUUUCGGUCCGUACAGCUCUAUCAGCAGGAAAUACAAUGCUGGUACCUGACUAAUAAGCCCCGGCUAACUACGUGCCAGCAGCCGCGGUAAUACGUAGGGGGCAAGCGUUAUCCGGAUUUACUGGGUGUAAAGGGAGCGCAGACGGCUGUGCAAGUCUGGAGUGAAAGGCGGGGGCCCAACCCCCGGACUGCUCUGGAAACUGUAAAGCUGGAGUGCAGGAGAGGUAAGCGGAAUUCCUAGUGUAGCGGUGAAAUGCGUAGAGAUUAGGAGGAACACCAGUGGCGAAGGCGGCUUACUGGACUGCAACUGACGUUGAGGCUCGAAAGCGUGGGGAGCAAACAGGAUUAGAUACCCUAGUAGUC
RNAcentral lists this ribosomal RNA (440 nucleotides) under uncultured bacterium. RNAcentral describes it as "partial 16S ribosomal RNA". It matches the Rfam family "Bacterial small subunit ribosomal RNA", at positions 338 to 795 of the family's 1533-position model. The record is from RNAcentral.